This 275-nucleotide ribosomal RNA is filed under the name uncultured bacterium. Its description in RNAcentral is "partial 16S ribosomal RNA". It matches the Rfam family "Bacterial small subunit ribosomal RNA", at positions 81 to 354 of the family's 1533-position model. The record is from RNAcentral.
CGUCCUGCCGGCGACCGGCGCACGGGUGAGUAACACGUAUGCGACCUGCCCCCGCAGGGGAUAACCGGGAGAAAUCCCGACUAAUACCGCGUAACGCCGCGGACCUGCAUGGGUCUGCGGCCAAAGGAAGCGAUUCCGGCGGGGGAUGGGCAUGCGGCGCAUUAGGUAGUUGGUGGGGCAACGGCCCACCAAGCCGACGAUGCGUAGGGGUUCUGAGAGGAAGGUCCCCCACAUUGGAACUGAGACACGGUCCAAACUCCUACGGAAGGCAGCAG